RNAcentral lists this long non-coding RNA (492 nucleotides) under Mytilus galloprovincialis (Mediterranean mussel). Lineage: Eukaryota; Metazoa; Mollusca; Bivalvia; Mytilida; Mytilidae. The record is from RNAcentral.
AAGUGUAAACAAAUCUACAAUUUCGUCAUGUUCGGAGACGAAAUUCGACAUCAGCGCCAACGUAGACCAUCUUGUAAUUUUCAACCAUCAACUGUACUCGUCUGUAUCUUUCACAUAAUAAAAUAUCACGUUGGCGCUCAUGUCAAAAAUUUGAAAAAUAAUCCGAUUGUUUACAAUUUUGACAAGUCAUUUUUUAAAAUACGUCAAAGGGAACGGCACGGGUACGAAAUUAUUCCGGGAUCCACAAUUGAUCAGCAUGUCACGUACGGAUUGUUUUACGUCGUAUCCAGUCAUCAAGACAUGUCACUCUCUUAAAAAAAAUAUGUUGUACGUGAAAUUAGACCUGCAAUGAUCAAAAUAUUCUAACACUACACAGACACAUACAGAGUUGUAUCCCUUGAAAUAUGGUGAAUUAAUUUUUAUUCAAUAUUAUUUUCAAGUAUUCAACGAUCUCUUACAAAUGAAUUUUAUAAUAAUUUCUCAAUACAUUCA